Non-coding RNA from Caenorhabditis elegans, 21 nucleotides. The record is from Ensembl. Lineage: Eukaryota; Metazoa; Nematoda; Chromadorea; Rhabditida; Rhabditidae.
UUAUUCUUUUAGAAGCAGAAU